This 228-nucleotide ribosomal RNA is filed under the name uncultured bacterium. RNAcentral's name for it is "partial 16S ribosomal RNA". It matches the Rfam family "Bacterial small subunit ribosomal RNA", at positions 568 to 795 of the family's 1533-position model. The record is from RNAcentral.
UCCGUGGGCGGGCGUCUAAGUCAGUGGUGAAAUCUUACAGCUCAACUGUAAAAUUGCCAUUGAUACUGGAUGUCUUGAAUUAGUGUGAAGUGGUUAGAAUGUGUAGUGUAGCGGUGAAAUGCAUAGAUAUUACACAGAAUACCAAUUGCGAAGGCAGAUCACUAACACUAUAUUGACGCUGAGGGACGAAAGCGUGGGGAGCGAACAGGAUUAGAUACCCUGGUAGUC